RNAcentral lists this ribosomal RNA (374 nucleotides) under uncultured organism. RNAcentral's name for it is "bacterial SSU rRNA". It matches the Rfam family "Archaeal small subunit ribosomal RNA", at positions 476 to 851 of the family's 1478-position model. The record is from RNAcentral.
CCAGCACCCCGAGUGGUCGGGACGAUUAUUGGGCCUAAAGCAUCCGUAGCCGGUUUUACAAGUCCUCCGUUAAAUCCAACUGCUUAACAGAUGGGCCGCGGAGGAUACUAUAAGACUAGGAGGCAGGAGAGGCAAGCGGUACUCAGUGGGUAGGGGUAAAAUCCGUUGAUCCAUUGAAGACACCAGUGGCGAAGGCGGCUUGCCAGAAUGCGCUCGACGGUGAGGGAUGAAAGCUGGGGGAGCAAACCGGAUUAGAUACCCGGGUAGUCCCAGCUGUAAACGAUGCAGACUCGGUGAUGGACCAGCUUCAUGCUAGUCCAGUGCCGCAGGGAAGCCGUUAAGUCUGCCGCCUGGGUAGUACGGUCGCAAGACUG